AUUGAACGCUGGCGGCAGGCCUAACACAUGCAAGUCGAGCGGAUGAAGGGAGCUUGCUCCUGGAUUCAGCGGCGGACGGGUGAGUAAUGCCUAGGAAUCUGCCUGGUAGUGGGGGAUAACGUCCGGAAACGGGCGCUAAUACCGCAUACGUCCUGAGGGAGAAAGUGGGGGAUCUUCGGACCUUACGCUAUCAGAUGAGCCUAGGUCGGAUUAGCUAGUUGGUGGGGUAAAGGCCUACCAAGGCGACGAUCCGUAACUGGUCUGAGAGGAUGAUCAGUCACACUGGAACUGAGACACGGUCCAGACUCCUACGGGAGGCAGCAGUGGGGAAUAUUGGACAAUGGGCGCAAGCCUGAUCCAGCCAUGCCGCGUGUGUGAAGAAGGUCUUCGGAUUGUAAAGCACUUUAGGUGGGAAAGAAGGGCAGUAAGUUAAUACCUUGCUGUUUUGACGUUACCAACAGAAUAAGCACCGGCUAACUUCGUG
This 484-nucleotide ribosomal RNA is filed under the name uncultured bacterium. Its description in RNAcentral is "partial 16S ribosomal RNA". It matches the Rfam family "Bacterial small subunit ribosomal RNA", at positions 30 to 507 of the family's 1533-position model. The record is from RNAcentral.